GGAUAACUACUGGAAACGGUAGCUAAUACCGCAUAACGUCGCAAGACCAAAGAGGGGGACCUUCGGGCCUCUUGCCAUCGGAUGUGCCCAGAUGGGAUUAGCUUGUUGGUGGGGUAACGGCUCACCAAGGCGACGAUCCCUAGCUGGUCUGAGAGGAUGACCAGCCACACUGGAACUGAGACACGGUCCAGACUCCUACGGGAGGCAGCAGUGGGGAAUAUUGCACAAUG
This 230-nucleotide ribosomal RNA is filed under the name Escherichia coli. RNAcentral describes it as "partial 16S ribosomal RNA". It matches the Rfam family "Bacterial small subunit ribosomal RNA", at positions 141 to 373 of the family's 1533-position model. The record is from RNAcentral. Lineage: Bacteria; Pseudomonadati; Pseudomonadota; Gammaproteobacteria; Enterobacterales; Enterobacteriaceae.